CUUAGUGGCGCACGGGUGAGUAAUAUAUAGUUAAUCUGCCCCAUAGUGGAGGACAACAGUUAGAAAUGACUGCUAAUACUCCAUACUCCUUCUUAUCAUAAGUUAAGUCGGGAAAGUUUUUCGCUAUGGGAUGAGACUAUAUCGUAUCAGCUAGUUGGUGAAGUAAUGGCUCACCAAGGCUAUGACGCGUAACUGGUCUGAGAGGAUGAUCAGUCACAUUGGAACUGAGACACGGUCCAAACUCC
This 245-nucleotide ribosomal RNA is filed under the name uncultured Campylobacter sp. RNAcentral describes it as "partial 16S ribosomal RNA". It matches the Rfam family "Bacterial small subunit ribosomal RNA", at positions 91 to 339 of the family's 1533-position model. The record is from RNAcentral. Lineage: Bacteria; Pseudomonadati; Campylobacterota; Epsilonproteobacteria; Campylobacterales; Campylobacteraceae.